AUGCGAGCAAAUUUGGCUACUGAGAGGCAUGCUGGGAAAAUAUACACUAGGGCUAUGUUCGAGCAAUUCGGACAUAUACUAUAUGAGUGUGGUGCAUAUCAGGUGGAGGAGAUCGAUAAAGGUAAAAACUGUGUUGCAAUACAUAUAGAUGCAGCACGGAGAGAAAAGUGGUGUGGAACUUCGUACAAAGUAACAGUUAUGGAAGGAGGUGAUGAAUUUGACUGUGAGUGUGGGCAGUUUGCACACAUGGGGCUGUUGUGCAGCCACAUCCUAAAGGUAAUGGACUUCAUCCGUGUCACGGAAAUCCCAAAGAAGCACAUUUUGAAGCGGUGGACACGGGAUGCAAGAGAUAUCCUUCCAGCACACCUCAUACAAUAC
Molecule: ribosomal RNA, 378 nt
Filed under: Triticum aestivum (bread wheat)
Lineage: Eukaryota; Viridiplantae; Streptophyta; Magnoliopsida; Poales; Poaceae
Description: partial small subunit ribosomal RNA
Source: RNAcentral